This 163-nucleotide ribosomal RNA is filed under the name Amelanchier hybrid cultivar. Its description in RNAcentral is "5.8S ribosomal RNA". It matches the Rfam family "5.8S ribosomal RNA". From Rfam's summary of the family: 5.8S ribosomal RNA (5.8S rRNA) is a component of the large subunit of the eukaryotic ribosome. It is transcribed by RNA polymerase I as part of the 45S precursor that also contains 18S and 28S rRNA. The record is from RNAcentral. Lineage: Eukaryota; Viridiplantae; Streptophyta; Magnoliopsida; Rosales; Rosaceae.
AAAACGACUCUCGGCAACGGAUAUCUCGGCUCUCGCAUCGAUGAAGAACGUAGCGAAAUGCGAUACUUGGUGUGAAUUGCAGAAUCCCGUGAACCAUCGAGUCUUUGAACGCAAGUUGCGCCCAAAGCCUUUAGGCCGAGGGCACGCCUGCCUGGGCGUCACA